This 294-nucleotide small nuclear RNA is filed under the name Mus caroli (Ryukyu mouse). RNAcentral describes it as "sRNA (MGP_CAROLIEiJ_G0008896.1)". It matches the Rfam family "7SK RNA". From Rfam's summary of the family: 7SK was discovered as an abundant small nuclear RNA in the mid-70s but a possible function has only recently been suggested. The record is from RNAcentral. Lineage: Eukaryota; Metazoa; Chordata; Mammalia; Rodentia; Muridae.
AGAUUUGAGGACAAUAAGGUUAUAACAUCUGUCACUCCAUUGAUUGACAGGGUUGAUCCGUCUGAUCUGGCUGGUUUGGUGGAUAUCCUCUUCCUCCCUUACUGGCCCAUUGUAUCCCACCUAGAGCUGCCCGCUCAGUCAAAAAGGACGACCUUCCUUGAAUAGAGGAGGACCAGUCUUGGGUCAAGGGUAUAUGAGUAGCUGUGCUCCUCUGCUAGAACCUCCAAACAAGCUCUCAAAGUCACUUUGUAUAUGGGGCAGAGUAACACACCCAAGUAAGGAAUGUGCUGCCUU